UGAUGUGAGGGUGAUCUGGCUAUGACAUGUCACCCCAUUGAUCGUCAGGGUUGAUUCUGCUGAUCUGGCUGGUGGUGAUGCCUUCCUCCCUCAGUGCUCCAUGCUUGUACCUCCUGAAGCUUCAUGCUUGGUCCCGGAGGAGGACCACUCCUGAUAGACAAGGGUCAUUCCUCGGUCAAGGGUAUACAAGUAGGUGAGUUCCCUGCUAGAAUCUCCAAACAAGCUCUCACAAGUUAAAAAAAGAACAAAACAAAACAUGGCAUCACAGAACUUUGUCAAGCUAUAGUGUGGAUAAGAAUAUUUCUUAUAUUAUUACUA
This is an unclassified non-coding RNA of Cavia porcellus (domestic guinea pig), 318 nucleotides long. Its record names the gene 7SK. It matches the Rfam family "7SK RNA". Rfam says of the family: 7SK was discovered as an abundant small nuclear RNA in the mid-70s but a possible function has only recently been suggested. Two independent studies have found that 7SK RNA binds the CDK9/cyclin T complex (known as elongation factor P-TEFb). NCBI's taxonomy places the organism in Eukaryota, Metazoa, Chordata, Mammalia, Rodentia, Caviidae. The record is from Ensembl.